UGCAGGUAGGCUGCAAAAGAUAAGACAGUGGUAUAGAGCAACACAGGUGGGGCCUGCAGGUAGGCUGCAGAAGAUAAGUCAGUGGUAUAGAACAACACAGGCCUGCAGGUAGGCUGCAGAAGAUAAGACAGUGGUAUAGAACAACACAGGCCUGCAGAUGGGCUGUAAAAGAUAAGACAGUGGUAUAGAACAACACGGGUGGGGCCUGCAGGUAGGCUGUAAAAGAAAAGACAGUGGUAUAGAACAACACAGGCCUGCAGGUAGGCUGUAAAAGAUAAGACAGUGGUAUAGAACAACACAGGCCUGCAGGUAGGCUGUAAAAGAUAAGACAGUGGUAUAGAACAACACAGGUGGGGCCUGCAGGUAGGCUGUAAAAGAUAAGACAGUGGUAUAGAACAACACGGGUGGGGCCUGCAGGUAGGCUGCAGAGGGACUAUACAGUGGUAUAGAACAACACAGGCCUGCAGGUGGGCUGUAAAAGAUAAGACAGUGGUAUAGAACAACACAGGUGGGGCCUGCAGGUAGGCUGUAAAAGAUAAGACAGUGGUAUAGAACAACACAGGUGGGGCCUGCAGGUAGGAUGUAAAAGAUAAGACAGUGGUAUAGAAUAACACAGGUGGGG
This is a long non-coding RNA of Oncorhynchus tshawytscha (Chinook salmon), 622 nucleotides long. Lineage: Eukaryota; Metazoa; Chordata; Actinopteri; Salmoniformes; Salmonidae. The record is from Ensembl.